UACGUAGGGUCCGAGCGUUGUCCGGAAUUACUGGGCGUAAAGAGCUCGUAGGUGGUUUGUCGCGUUGUUCGUGAAAACUCACAGCUCAACUGUGGGCGUGCGGGCGAUACGGGCAGACUUGAGUACUGCAGGGGAGACUGGAAUUCCUGGUGUAGCGGUGGAAUGCGCAGAUAUCAGGAGGAACACCGGUGGCGAAGGCGGGUCUCUGGGCCUUACCUGACGCUGAGGAGCGAAAGCGUGGGUAGCGAACAGG
RNAcentral lists this ribosomal RNA (253 nucleotides) under uncultured bacterium. RNAcentral's name for it is "partial 16S ribosomal RNA". It matches the Rfam family "Bacterial small subunit ribosomal RNA", at positions 524 to 776 of the family's 1533-position model. The record is from RNAcentral.